UACGUAGGGGGCAAGCGUUGUCCGGAAUCAUUGGGCGUAAAGCGCGUGUAGGCGGUCCGGUAAGUCCGCUGUGAAAGUCGGGGGCUCAACCCUCGGAUGCCGGUGGAUACUGUCAGGCUAGAGUCCGGAAGAGGAGAGUGGAAUUCCUGGUGUAGCGGUGAAAUGCGCAGAUAUCAGGAAGAACACCUAUGGCGAAGGCAGCUCUCUGGGACGGUACUGACGCUGAGACGCGAAAGCGUGGGGAGCGAACAGG
Molecule: ribosomal RNA, 253 nt
Filed under: uncultured bacterium
Lineage: Bacteria
Description: partial 16S ribosomal RNA
Rfam family: Bacterial small subunit ribosomal RNA
Source: RNAcentral